GAUGAACGCUGGCGGCGUGCUUAACACAUGCAAGUCGAACGGAAAGGCCCAAGCUUGCUUGGGUUCUCGAGUGGCGAACGGGUGAGUAACACGUGGGCGAUCUGCCCUGCACUUCGGGAUAAGCCUGGGAAACUGGGUCUAAUACCGGAUAGGACGAUGGUUUGGAUGCCAUUGUGGAAAGUUUUUUCGGUGUGGGAUGAGCUCGCGGCGUAUCAGCUUGUUGGUGGGGUAAUGGCCUAGCAAGGCGUAGACGGGGAGCCGGCAUAAGGGAGUGUACGCACGCAUUAGAACUGUAAUGGAGCCCAGAGUCCGACGGAAGGGAGCAGUGGGGAAUGUUGGACACAGGCAGACAGCCUGAGGCAGCGAGGCCGCGUGGGGGUUGAGGGCCUUCGGGUUGUAAGCAAAUUUCGCUGGGAACGAAGCGUUUUUGUGACGGUACCUAAAGAAGAAGCACCGGCUAACUUCGUG
This 468-nucleotide ribosomal RNA is filed under the name uncultured bacterium. RNAcentral's name for it is "partial 16S ribosomal RNA". It matches the Rfam family "Bacterial small subunit ribosomal RNA", at positions 28 to 507 of the family's 1533-position model. The record is from RNAcentral.